Molecule: ribosomal RNA, 497 nt
Filed under: uncultured bacterium
Lineage: Bacteria
Description: partial 16S ribosomal RNA
Rfam family: Bacterial small subunit ribosomal RNA
Source: RNAcentral
GAUGAACGCUGGCGGCGUGCCUAAUACAUGCAAGUCGAGCGAACAGAUAAGGAGCUUGCUCCUUUGACGUUAGCGGCGGACGGGUGAGUUACACGUGGAUAACCUACCUAUAAGACUGGGAUAACUUCGGGAAACCGGAGCUAAUACCGGAUAACAUAUUGAACCGCAUGGUUCAAUAGUGAAAGGCGGCUUUGCUGUCACUUAUAGAUGGAUCCGCGCCGUAUUAGCUAGUUGGUAAGGUAACGGCUUACCAAGGCAACGAUACGUAGCCGACCUGAGAGGGUGAUCGCCCACACUGGAACUGGAACACGGUCCAGACUCCUACGGGGGGCAGCAGUAGGGAAUCUUCCGCAAUGGGCGAAAGCCUGACGGGGCAACGCCGCGUGAGUAAUAAAGGUCUUCGGAUCGUAAAACUCUGUUAUCAGGGAGAAACAAAUGUGUAAGUAACUGUGCACAUCUUGACGGUACCUGAUCAGAAAGCCACGGCUAACUACGUG